CGUGUGGUUCGUUUUUCUUCAACUUACCUUCGGUUUGCAGAUUCUUGAUUUCAGACACUGAAAUUACUGUAAACAGGUAUAUUUACUUAAAAAAGGAAGAGUAGAGGCACUAACAGAUUAUGAAUUUUUCACCUAAGAAUGAGCUGCUUAUAUACAGGUUUUGAAAAAAUUCUUUUAACUCUUAGCCCACAUUGAUUCUUAUCAAUUUUGUCAAUGCAGAAUCUUAUUUUGCAAACCUCUUUUUUCUUUUUUGUCCCCUUGUUAAGACAAUGCAGAAUAUUUUGAUUUAUCAAAAACUUGAAUUUACAUGAAGAUUCUUGGAAAUAAUAACAUAAGACAAGCUGUGGCAGCCGUGUCAAGAGUUAUUUGAAAAGGUCGUCUUAGAAAAAUGCACGUUAAAUUCAUUCAAGUCCGGAGUGUUCAAACACUUCCUGAGGAUCUCUUUGAGCUAAGGCCUGAGCCUUGGAAAACAGCCACACUCAGGAACUGGUGGAGGAAGAGGAGCCAUCAAGGAAGCGGCCAUAGAAACCAUAGAAAGUGUCAAGAUGGUGACGAACGUCAAAUGCAGUAGAACGGUUAAGUUGGAUGAAAAGAAAAAGCUAUUGAUUUUGGCAAUAAAGAUGUCUCUACUGAUCUUUGUAAGCAGUUAAUGAGAUUAUUUGGGUAAAAGAUAGGUCCAGAGCACAGGAGAAGAGGCCGUGGAGACAGCAAGCGUAGACGAUUAAGUUUGGUGAAGAGAGGAAAGAUGGGCAGAUGCGCGACUGAGUCAUCAUGAGGAAAUUGUUGGAAAAGUUUCUCUGAUUAUAAAAGUAUGUCACUUUGAUAAAUACUAAGAAAAUAAGAGUAUAAAAGAAUUUAAAUGACCUCUAAGCUACCCAGAGAUAACCAUUGUUUCCUUUGAAAAUGCGUAACAAAAUUGGAGUUGAAGUUUAAAAACUGCAUGAUAUACUGUCAUGUAACGUGAUUCUUACCAUUUUUUAUUGUGUAUUUAAGAUACAGUUUUUGGUGUCAAUGUGUUGAAUAAGGGGUCUCUAUUUCCUUCAACCUUUCCCCACUCCCCACUUUGAAAUCCCUUGCUUCUGUUAGAAAUCCACAUUAAGCUACAUACUAGAAGUGUGAUUUUCAUCAUCCAUAUCAAGGAGAUAACCAACAGUAGUGACCCUCAUAGGAUUGUUGUGAGGAUUAAAAUGUAAGCAUUUAGCAUAGUACCUAGCUUAUAGUAGAGACUCAAUCCCCCCCGCCCCAC
This 1246-nucleotide long non-coding RNA is filed under the name Equus caballus (horse). RNAcentral describes it as "lncRNA (ENSECAG00000050323.1)". The record is from RNAcentral. Lineage: Eukaryota; Metazoa; Chordata; Mammalia; Perissodactyla; Equidae.